RNAcentral lists this ribosomal RNA (486 nucleotides) under uncultured bacterium. RNAcentral's name for it is "partial 16S ribosomal RNA". It matches the Rfam family "Bacterial small subunit ribosomal RNA", at positions 30 to 507 of the family's 1533-position model. The record is from RNAcentral.
AUUGAACGCUGGCGGCAUGCCUUACACAUGCAAGUCGAACGGCAGCACGGGUGCUUGCACCUGGUGGCGAGUGGCGAACGGGUGAGUAAUACAUCGGAACAUGUCCUGUAGUGGGGGAUAGCCCGGCGAAAGCCGGAUUAAUACCGCAUACGAUCUACGGAUGAAAGCGGGGGACCUUCGGGCCUCGCGCUAUAGGGUUGGCCGAUGGCUGAUUAGCUAGUUGGUGGGGUAAAGGCCUACCAAGGCGACGAUCAGUAGAUGGUCUGAGAGGACGACCAGCCACACUGCGACUGAGCCACGGCCCAGACUCCUACGGGAGGCAGCAGUGGGGAAUUUUGGACAAUGGGCGAAAGCCUGAUCCAGCAAUGCCGCGUGUGUGAAGAAGGCCUUCGGGUUGUAAAGCACUUUUGUCCGGAAAGAAAUCCUUGGCUCUAAUACAGUCGGGGGAUGACGGUACCGGAAGAAUAAGCACCGGCUAACUACGUG